This 166-nucleotide ribosomal RNA is filed under the name Krameria cistoidea. RNAcentral's name for it is "5.8S ribosomal RNA". It matches the Rfam family "5.8S ribosomal RNA". From Rfam's summary of the family: 5.8S ribosomal RNA (5.8S rRNA) is a component of the large subunit of the eukaryotic ribosome. Lineage: Eukaryota; Viridiplantae; Streptophyta; Magnoliopsida; Zygophyllales; Krameriaceae. The record is from RNAcentral.
CAAGAACGACUCCCGGCAACGGAUAUCUCGGCUCUCGCAUCGAUGAAGAACGUAGCGAAAUGCGAUACUUGGUGUGAAUUGCAGAAUCCCGUGAACCAUCGAGUCUUUGAACGCAAGUUGCGCCCGAAGCCGUCAGGUUGAGGGCACGUCUGCCUGGGUGUCACAC